CACUCCACCUACUGCCCUCCAGUUGAGUCAAAUGAAGGUCUGGUAAGAGCUGAACUGUGCCACUCCACCUACUGCCCUCCAGUUGAGUCAAAUGAAGGUCUGGUAAGAGCUGAACUGUGCCACUCCACCUACUGCCC
This is a long non-coding RNA of Calypte anna (Anna's hummingbird), 137 nucleotides long. RefSeq lists it as uncharacterized. NCBI's taxonomy places the organism in Eukaryota, Metazoa, Chordata, Aves, Apodiformes, Trochilidae. The transcript has 3 exons. The record is from RefSeq and is a predicted model, not a curated record.